Molecule: ribosomal RNA, 253 nt
Filed under: uncultured bacterium
Lineage: Bacteria
Description: partial 16S ribosomal RNA
Rfam family: Bacterial small subunit ribosomal RNA
Source: RNAcentral
UACAGAGGUCCCAAGCGUUGUUCGGAUUCACUGGGCGUAAAGGGUGCGUAGGUGGUGAGGUAAGUCGGAUGUGAAAGCUCGGGGCUCAACUCCGAAAUGGCAUUGGAAACUACCUUGCUCGAGGGUUGGAGGGGGGACUGGAAUGCUUGGUGUAGCAGUGAAAUGCGUAGAUAUCAAGCGGAACACCAGUGGCGAAGGCGAGUCCCUGGACAACUCCUGACACUGAGGCACGAAAGCUAGGGGAGCAAACAGG